ACUGAGUGUCUGACACAUGUACAGAGCCCACAAGCUGCCAUGAGCUAUUUCUACAUGUAACUAGGUGACUACGCCUUGCAGCUUCCCCUACGUUAUAGGCUUUUUAACUUCAUUAUGUGAUCAGGCAUGUUGCCAACUUUGAAGGCCAUUCCACACAUCUGAGUGAUCUGGCUUGCCGUCCAGGUGAUUUAAGUGCCAAUCUUGAUAAAGGUCCGCAUAAGGACCGAAACGUCGAUGAAAUACGGCAUCAACAGUGAACCCGAAUAAAAAUAUACUGAAUUUACAAGUGACUUCAGAGACUAAUUUCUGGGCGUGAGUGCACCUUCCACCUAGGUGGUUGUUGUGGUAUAUUGGUGGCCUCUCUGGUCAUUAGGAGCACCCGCCGUCGUUAUUACUUUUGAUGAGAGUGCAGGAUCUUCCAAGACUACAUUUGUUCGAACUACUAUAUGCAGUUCCUACUUCCUGACACCCAUCCAACAUACCGGAUUGGACUUCCUCACCGAUCACCACCUUUAUUUCCGGGAACCUUACAUGUUUUGUUUGUCAUGUUUAGUAUGUUAUUAAUCUAAUUGCUAUACCUGUUUGAGUUUUCCAGUCUAAAGAGUGUUAUGACUCAGAGCGGGGUAUAUUUGUUGGAUGAUGGCCUACUGGCCAAAGCUGAAACUGGUAUAGUUUCAUUUACGGAUGAGGACACUGAAAAAUUACUAUUCGAUAAAUUAGAGUUUGAGGCCUUACCAGCCGAAACCCCUGUGGAUUUGUUUUACAAAGUGCUUAAACACAGACAAAAAGAGGUUGAUUUGACUUUACAUGGUCAAUUUUUGUCGGAAUACCUCAGGAGAAAACAAAUCCCCCGGGGUUUCCGUAUUUCUAACGUUCCAACAUUGGGUAGAAACAACCCUGUCUUCUGCAGCCGGUGGUGUGGAGUAUUGAACAAAUGUUCGCUUGACCUCAUGACCCUGGUAGUGGAGGAAGUUGGCAUUGAGUUAAAGAAAUUAUCUACUGAAGUGGAUAUUACCAUCAAAUCUCACACCACCGUGCUGCAGAAUGACAAAACCCAAAAUUGGAUCGAACGUCUACAGACACAGGUGGACACUUAUAAACGUGAUCUAAUUUCUUUUAAACGAAAAAAAUUGUCCACUGUAACUAACGACUACCAAACGCAUACUGUAUACCGCUGGUUACUUGGAAACAAUACUAGUGAACGUCAGAAUAGACAAUACACUAGGCGAAGGGCCCAACCUUUUGCCCAUGAAUUUGUUUCCUCCGCCUCUACCUCAGACACCGAUUAUUACGAAGGGAACAACGACUCCACUCGUUUUUUAGAUCGAGGAGGAGAGGCCUCCUCUACCCGUUCCAGGGUUCUCAGAAGCGGCACAGACCGCACCCGAGGAGAGGGGGGUACCAAGAGAAGAGGGAGGAGGAGACAGUAGGUGACAAUGUCUUUAAUCUAUCUAGCGUAGAACUGAGUCCAGCGGAAACUAAACUUCUUGCCCGAGGUUUAUCUUUCGUCCCCACAUGCAGAAUUAAUUCAUUCCAACAAACUAUAGAUCAGUAUAAAUUUGGCCGCUCCCUCCGUCUGCGGGAGUUCUUUGCUAACAAAUCCACUAACAAAGAGAUACCUCAAUUCAGACCCAAAUCGACAUUCGAUCCUCCAUCCUCCAAUCCCAGCAUCAAAACUUAUUUACGGUUAGUCCAAAGAGACUCUGAGAGCUCACCCCCCAAAAGGAUGUUUGAUAACCUGUCCAUAGCCGAGAGGAAAGCAUUAAAAACUUUAAAGGAUUCUCCCCAUAUAGUCAUCCGCCCGGCGGAUAAGGGAGGAGCAAUAGUCGUCCAAGAUUGGACUGACUAUGACAUGGAGAUCAACCGACAAUUAGCAGAUGAC
Long non-coding RNA from Pseudophryne corroboree (corroboree frog), 1882 nucleotides. RefSeq lists it as uncharacterized. The transcript has 3 exons. Lineage: Eukaryota; Metazoa; Chordata; Amphibia; Anura; Myobatrachidae. The record is from RefSeq and is a predicted model, not a curated record.